Pyrus x bretschneideri (Chinese white pear) is the source of this 1658-nucleotide long non-coding RNA. RefSeq lists it as uncharacterized. The transcript is spliced from 3 exons. The record is from RefSeq and is a predicted model, not a curated record. Lineage: Eukaryota; Viridiplantae; Streptophyta; Magnoliopsida; Rosales; Rosaceae.
GAUACGGGAAGUUUUCCUCAUUAUGCUCCUAUGCCCAGUUGGUCGGGUGUAUAUGACUUGCAGUGAGCUCAGGGACACAGAUUGGUUAGUUCAUCCAUGAUGCUGAGUCCUAUCUUGAAUGGUAUCUUGGCCGCCGCGUUUUAGAUGCUUAGGUCCGUGAUUGAAGUGUUAUUUGUAGUUUUUUUCUUCUUUUCAGAAUUCAUAAUGUUUGUAACUAUAAAAAACAAUAUACUUUUAUACCUCUGUUUCUCUUUUCUUUGUUUUCAUGAGAAAGUAAUUGUCAUUGGCAGCACUAUAAAAAACAAUCUCUCUGCAUUAUUCUCUGCUUCAUACAUAAUUACAUGAUUUUAGGUUUAAUAUCUAGCUUUUUAGUUGUAGAUUACUUAUAUGGGUCUUUAACUGCAAUAUCAAAUUUCUUACUUUUUUCAUGUUUUUACUUUUGACUUGCUGAUAUCUAUUUUAGAAUGUGGAAUUAUAUCUAAUAUUUGUUUAUUUUCUGACUGUCUUAAUGCCUCACUGUCUGUAGAUUUUAAAUUUUGGUAAGAACCAUGAAAAUGAUUGAAAAGCAUGAUGUUGUUUUCGAAAUAUAUAUUAGCAUCCCCUUCUCACCCAACUGCCAAAAUUAGGUGGCUUGACUUGAGGUGUUUUCAGAUAUUGUAAUUGAAUGAACAAUUAGGUUACACUUUAACAAAAAUGUGUAAAAAGGGUUGAUAACCGCAUUUUUAAGAGAGAAGUACUAUUUUGUCUAAUCCUUUUGAGUUCCCAUAUAUCUUCAUUGUUUCAUUUAUACAUCUGUUGGAGGAUUGGAGGGGAUUGGGAGGCAGAUGAGUGAGACUUCUGAUGGUUACACAGAAAUAAAUGGUCUCUCACAUCUUGAACCAGAUUAUUAUUGGUUUGGCAGUGCUUCUGUUUUCCACAAUGUAAGCCCAAGAUUAUGCAAUGGUGCUCAAUUUGGAUUUGUUGCAUAGCUAGAAGGAUUAUCUUGCAGUAAUUGUUGAAGACUGUUAUAUGCCAAGCACCGUAUAUUUUUUCAAGGAGCUUCCUCAGUUUGUUGUCAAGGCUGGUUCAAUUUUAAGUAAUAUUUAUGGUGUAGAUUGGGAAAACAAACUUGAGGUAUUAAUUUUUCAGAGAUAGUUUAUGCUUGAAAUUAGCCCUGUUUUUAUAUCUUCCAACAUUCUGUUUUCUUGGAGUUACUGUGUGCUUGAAAACUUGCUGAAACAACAAUGGAACAGUUAUUUUGUUUUUUGUUAACUGCUGAAACAGGUGCUAGGCCUACAGGCCAUAUAUUUUGCUACCUUAACUGCAGGGUAAAAUAUGUCUGGACUACAUCUUGCUUUUGUUUCUUACGGAAAUAGGCAUCCUGCAUUUUUUUUCUUUGAACAUUAGUGCUUGAAAGCUUAGCUGCUGAAACAAAAACAGAACACUUUUAAUGUUUUUUGUUAACUGCUGAAACAGGCCGUUGGCCUACAGGACAUAUAUUUUGCCAUCUUAACUUCAGAGGCAAUAUAUGUGUGAACUGUAUGUUGUUUCUGUUUCUUAUGGAAACAGACAAUUUUUUGCAAUCACAUCUUUUGUAAUCAAGAACGUUCUGUUAAUUGUACAAUGUCUUUUCAUAUCAGUUAUGUUGAAUGUAUACAAAAAUCAAGAUGCUUAUCUUA